Apis laboriosa (Himalayan honeybee) is the source of this 712-nucleotide long non-coding RNA. RefSeq lists it as uncharacterized. NCBI's taxonomy places the organism in Eukaryota, Metazoa, Arthropoda, Insecta, Hymenoptera, Apidae. The transcript is spliced from 3 exons. The record is from RefSeq and is a predicted model, not a curated record.
UAUAUCUGCUGACUAAUCUCGAGAUUUUGUGUAUUUUUGUUUUUGCAACAAUCGAGGCACCACUGUUUGUAGCGAUGGCCUUGUAACAAGUAUUGCUUCUCAUUGUGGCCGUGUAAACGUUGACGAAUGGAUCGACACGCGCUUGGAAACGUUAAUAUUAACCAACGCAAAAUUAAAAUUGUGUGAUUUCAUCGUAUUCUUAAUCACUAUCUUUUUUUAGAAAUUUUCUAAACGAAAUAAUAAUACGUAAUAUAUCGUAUACGUAAUAUCGAAUUGAAGGAACAUUCAUUUUUACGUUUUACUUCGAUUUGGAAAUAUCCUUUUAAUUAUCGAUUACGUUUCUUCUUCGACCAAUAAAAGUAUUUGGAGAUGCUUUUAAGAUGCUAAAAAAGAUACUACGAGUACUAAGAAACUCAAAUCCAGUUAUCCUAUUGCAAAUUAAUCUUGUUUCAAAUGAAAUCUAAUUAAUUUUCUAAAAGAUUGUCGAUUUAUGCUACUUCGACAAUUUAAUUAACGGUAUCAAUUUCGGUGAAAUGCAUUUUACCUUCGUGGAAUUCGUAUCGGUAUUAUGAAUGCAUGAAAGUCUGGCUCACCCACCGAAUAACCACAAAAUACAAGUGACACACGAAGGGUUACGAAGCGUCACGAAGUGACCCGAAUAAGGUUCUACGGGACGUUAAUAAGUAUAUGUAUACUAACCACGACCUCAUUC